RNAcentral lists this long non-coding RNA (403 nucleotides) under Mytilus galloprovincialis (Mediterranean mussel). The record is from RNAcentral. Lineage: Eukaryota; Metazoa; Mollusca; Bivalvia; Mytilida; Mytilidae.
AAUUUCUUCAAACAUUUUUUUGAGAGGAUUAAUAUUCAACAUCAUAGUGAAUUGCUCAAAGGCAAAAAAAAAUUUUAAGUUCAUUAGACCACAUUCAUUUUGUGUCAGAAACCUAUGCUGUGUCAACUAUUUAAUUUUAGAUUCAAAUAAGUUUGAAGAAGAAAUCUUUAAUUGAUUUGUAAAAUCUUGACAUUUGUUUUGUGUAAAAAACCCAUAUAAUGUCAAAAAUUUGAUCACAAUCCAAAUUCAGAGCUGUAUCACGCUUGAAUGUUUUGUCCAUACUUGCCCCAACUGUUCAGGGGUUCAACCUCUGCGGUCGUAUAAAGCUGCGCCCUGGUUGAAAUAAGAAAUCUAAACUUCUUCUUUCAUUACUGAUUUUAUACCAUACUUAAAUUGGUGGUUU